CUUCAUGACAACAAGAUAAUCUCAAGGGAUGCUAUUAUUCGAAAACUUGGUAGUGGAAUGAGUACUUCUCUUUAGAAAGAUCAGUGGAUUGGUGAUGAGUACUUCUCUUUGGAAAGAUCAGUAGAUUGGUGAUAGUCCUUUGGUGGUGUGGUUUUCUAGACUUUUUAUAUUCGAGAUUGAUAAAGAUUGUUACACUAAUCAAAGAUGAAAUGGGGUUGACUGGAAUUAAAAUUGGUCUCUCCUAGUGGAUGGGAGAUAAAUGGGUGUGAGAUGUUGGCAGUUUUGAUGAGUUCAUGGUUUCAGAGUCAUUGAUGAUAUCUCUAUUCUAGAUGGUUAUCAUUCCAUUGGAUGAAAUAAAUAUGUUCCUCGUAAAGUAAAUAUUUUUUUAUCGGAGAUGUGGUUUAAACAGGUUGCCAAUUCAUAUGAAAUUGGUUUAUAAAGGUGUAGGUGCCCCUUCUUUGGUUUUUUUCUAUUUGCAACGUUGAUAUGAAAGAUAUAUUUCAUCUUUUCAA
Long non-coding RNA from Lactuca sativa (garden lettuce), 512 nucleotides. RefSeq lists it as uncharacterized. Lineage: Eukaryota; Viridiplantae; Streptophyta; Magnoliopsida; Asterales; Asteraceae. The record is from RefSeq and is a predicted model, not a curated record.